Molecule: ribosomal RNA, 429 nt
Filed under: Acidobacteriota bacterium
Lineage: Bacteria; Pseudomonadati; Acidobacteriota
Description: Acidobacteria bacterium partial 16S ribosomal RNA
Rfam family: Bacterial small subunit ribosomal RNA
Source: RNAcentral
UGGGGAAUUUUGGACAAUGGGGGAAACCCUGAUCCAGCCAUCCCGCGUGUGCGAUGAAGGCCUUCGGGUUGUAAAGCACUUUUGGCAGGAAAGAAACGUCAUGGGUUAAUACCCCGUGAAACUGACGGUACCUGCAGAAUAAGCACCGGCUAACUACGUGCCAGCAGCCGCGGUAAUACGUAGGGUGCAAGCGUUAAUCGGAAUUACUGGGCGUAAAGCGUGCGCAGGCGGUUCGGAAAGAAAGAUGUGAAAUCCCAGAGCUCAACUUUGGAACUGCAUUUUUAACUACCGGGCUAGAGUUUGUCAGAGGGAGGUGGAAUUCCGCGUGUAGCAGUGAAAUGCGUAGAUAUGCGGAGGAACACCGAUGGCGAAGGCAGCCUCCUGGGAUAACACUGACGCUCAUGCACGAAAGCGUGGGGAGCAAACAGG